This 1161-nucleotide long non-coding RNA is filed under the name Marmota monax (woodchuck). The record is from RNAcentral. Lineage: Eukaryota; Metazoa; Chordata; Mammalia; Rodentia; Sciuridae.
UAGCAACAGGUUCAACCAGUCUCUGGGAAGAGUUCUGCAAGUGUAUUUAGACAUGAUCCUGUGGCUGGAACUAGAAGAAUUCCAAAGAUAAAUUUGCUUCCUCCUAGACAACUUCAUCUGCAACUCGUGGAAAUCAAAUGCAGAAUUACAUACACCAAAUCAUGGGAACUUCAGGAAAGAAAAAUAAGAGAACAGACACUUAUUUUCCUUCAUGAACAGAAGAAACUAGAUAAUCAGGUGAAGCUGUGGUUCUGCUAUUGUGAUGUAUAGUCAACUCACUCUGUUUUUCGAAACUUGUAUAAAAUGGGAACAGUAGUACCCGCCAUGUAUCUCUCCAAGUGCAGUGUGACAUUUGUUAAAAAUUCAGAAUCUCAGGCCUACCCCUUACCUAUAGAAUAAGAAUCUGUAUCUUAACAAGAUCCCUAAUUAAUUCACAUGUAUACUAAAUUUUGACAAACAGUGAAGUUAGAAAAUGCUAUGCAACUAUUUUGAGAAGGCAAAUUACUCAUGAGACUAAGAAAAACAAUUAUUCCUUAAAAUUUCAAAGAAAUAUAUACACACGUGUUUACAUACACUAGAUAAUUUCUAUUAUUGACUAAAGGAAAAUACUGUUAUUAUUUAGAUUAUUGUUAGACGUUCAUUUUAACACUAGAAGAGUUCAAGAAUAAUGGCAGAAAGGAAUGUGACAUUUCCAGAGGAAAGCACCUAUUGAAACUCACAUAAAAGAAGACAAGAGGAAUGAAGCUGUCAGGUUCAAAUCAGUUUAAUCAUGGACCAUCCUGAAGUGAAUCUUGGAAAAUAUUGUAUCAUAGUGCUUAUUCUUUGUGCACUCGGUUAAAAAAAAAAAUGAAGGGAAAAUACUUCUUUCCCUUUUGGAGAAGAAAGUAUAGCCAAGGCAGAGAAUGCAAAGCAGAAAGCUGGGAAGUAAAUAACAGGGAAGACUUGAGACAAGAAAUGAGUCUGAAAGGGAAAGAAUAAUUUAGAAAUUAUAUGUGGUGUCUCCUGUGGAUGUUCCAGACAUCAAAAAGGAGAAUAUAAUGUAAUUUUAGGGCUUGAUAUUCCUGAACAGUCAGAAUAGGCAGAAACUGCUGUCAACAAUUUAGCAGGGAUAAUAUGUCAAGGACAAAAUCCACACCCACCACCUUCUACUCAACCAAAUUG